GUUGACCUCGGAUCAGGUAGGGAUACCCGCUGAACUUAAGCAUAUCAAUAAGCGGAGGAAAAGAAACCAACAGGGAUUGCUCUAGUAACGGCGAGUGAAGCAGCAAUAGCUCAAAUUUGAAAUCUGGCGUCUUCGACGUCCGAGUUGUAAUUUGUAGAGGAUGCUUCUGAGUAACCACCGACCUAAGUUCCUUGGAACAGGACGUCAUAGA
RNAcentral lists this ribosomal RNA (211 nucleotides) under Cladosporium allicinum. RNAcentral's name for it is "partial 28S ribosomal RNA". It matches the Rfam family "Eukaryotic large subunit ribosomal RNA", at positions 1 to 209 of the family's 3401-position model. Lineage: Eukaryota; Fungi; Ascomycota; Dothideomycetes; Cladosporiales; Cladosporiaceae. The record is from RNAcentral.